RNAcentral lists this signal recognition particle RNA (262 nucleotides) under Mediterraneibacter faecis. RNAcentral describes it as "signal recognition particle sRNA large type". It matches the Rfam family "Bacterial large signal recognition particle RNA". From Rfam's summary of the family: The signal recognition particle (SRP) is a universally conserved ribonucleoprotein involved in the co-translational targeting of proteins to membranes. The record is from RNAcentral. Lineage: Bacteria; Bacillati; Bacillota; Clostridia; Lachnospirales; Lachnospiraceae. RNAcentral also lists the same sequence under 1 other name.
CCGUGCAGCCGGGGUGGUAGCGGUACCUUGAACCUGCAAUCCGCUAUAGCAGGGGUGAUAUUGCGCAGAGGGCGACAGUCUGCAGGGCUGCCCCCGGAAAGUGACGUUGACGUCUGGGUCUCACGCGACGGGACUCUGUGAACCGUGUCAGGUCGGGAACGGAGCAGCACUAAGCAGAACCUCUCGGGUGCCGUGAGGGUGCCUAGGCUGAGUUAACUACCGGGGUAACGCUUGUGGGCCAAGUUCGAAGCGCAAUGCACGU